This 433-nucleotide ribosomal RNA is filed under the name uncultured bacterium. Its description in RNAcentral is "partial 16S ribosomal RNA". It matches the Rfam family "Bacterial small subunit ribosomal RNA", at positions 29 to 507 of the family's 1533-position model. The record is from RNAcentral.
AACGAACGCUGGCGGCAGGCUUAACACAUGCAAGUCGAGCGCAUCCUUCGGGGUGAGCGGCAGACGGGUGAGUAACGCGUGGGAAUCUACCUUUUGCUACGGAAUAGCUCCGGGAAACUGGAAUUAAUACCGUAUGUGCCCUUAGGGGGAAAGAUUUAUCGGCAAGAGAUGAGCCCGCGUUGGAUUAGCUAGUUGGUGGGGUAAAGGCCUACCAAGGCGACGAUCCAUAGCUGGUCUGAGAGGAUGAUCAGCCACAUUGGGACUGAGACACGGCCCAAACUCCUACGGGAGGCAGCAGUGGGGAAUAUUGGACAAUGGGCGCAAGCCUGAUCCAGCCAUGCCGCGUGAGUGAUGAAGGCCUUAGGGUUGUAAAGCUCUUUCACCGGAGAAGAUAAUGACGGUAUCCAGAGAAGAAGCCCCGGCUAACUUCGUG